UUUAUGACUACAGACAAUAGCAUGACAGGUGACAACACACAGAAACACACACGAUGUGCGUGUAAUGUGUUUAUGACUACAGACAAUAGCAUGACAGGUGACAACACACAGAAACACACACGAUGUGCGUGUAAUGUGUUUAUGACUACAGACAAUAGCAUGACAGGUGACAACACACAGAAACACACACGAUGUGCGUGUAAUGUGUUUAUGACUACAGACAAUAGCAUGACAGGUGACAACACACAGAAACACACACGAUGUGCGUGUAAUGUGUUUAUGACUACAGACAAUAGCAUGACAGGUGACAACACACAGAAACACACACGAUGUGCGUGUAAUGUGUUUAUGACUACAGACAAUAGCAUGACAGGUGACAACACACAGAAACACACACGAUGUGCGUGUAAUGUGUUUAUGACUACAGACAAUAGCAUGACAGGUGACAACACACAGAAACACACACGAUGUGCGUGUAAUGUGUUUAUGACUACAGACAAUAGCAUGACAGGUGACAACACACAGAAACACACAGGAUGUGCGUGUAAUGUGUUUAUGACUACAGACAAUAGCAUGACAGGUGACAACACACAGAAACACACACGAUGUGCGUGUAAUGUGUUUAU
Long non-coding RNA from Oncorhynchus keta (chum salmon), 626 nucleotides. RefSeq lists it as uncharacterized. The transcript has 3 exons. The record is from RefSeq and is a predicted model, not a curated record. Lineage: Eukaryota; Metazoa; Chordata; Actinopteri; Salmoniformes; Salmonidae.